RNAcentral lists this long non-coding RNA (311 nucleotides) under Castor canadensis (American beaver). RNAcentral describes it as "lncRNA (ENSCCNG00000002045.1)". The record is from RNAcentral. Lineage: Eukaryota; Metazoa; Chordata; Mammalia; Rodentia; Castoridae.
GAGGAACUGAACAUGCAUUGGGGUCGGAGGACGCUUGGAAAACAUGAAUUCUUUAAAUUUCCAGGCUUGGGGAAGACGCAGUCAUGGCGGAGGAAGGCAGGGCUGAGCAGCUUCCUUGGCUGCUGGGUUCCAGUGAGGUCAGUCAGGUGCGCUGGCCCAGGCUGCUGGCUGCCAUAGGGAAUAGUCCCUGUGGCCUUUGCAGCCCUGAGCUGAGUGGCCUCGCGCGCGGAGCUGUGGACCGAAGGACCUGCGUGGUGGUGGGUCAAGCCUGCCGAGUUCGAGAUGAAGUUGCAGGUGGAGACGGAGGUGAC